UUUUCUCUCAUACACUCAGCUCUAUCACUCUCAUCCUCUCCACCGGUACUUCCAUACCACCAUUUCCGCCAUCAUUUUUCCAGCAAGAUCAUCAGAAAAUCUUUAAGAAUCUCUAAGCACCUUCACAUCUUUUAUUUGAGGUUCUAGAUAAUCUCCUUGGAGCUUGGAGAAUUAGGCUUCUGGCGGGUUGCAAGAUCUAGGUCAGUGCCCUUUCACUUUGGAUGAUGCGUUAUUCCCUGCUACCCAUUGGGGGAAGAGGUUCCUUGGUUGUGUGUGGGUGAGGCUGCUACCCAUGGGGCCAAAAGACCACAUGCAAAAGAGGUCCUAUUUGAUGCGCUCCAUGCUACCUAUACGGGGAGAGAAAAACCUUGAGGGUAUGGGUGAGGCUACUGCCAAUGGGGCCAAGAGACUGCAUACUAGAGAGGACAAUAUCAUGCCAGUUGUGAAUGGGUGGAUCCCCUAACUGAUUUAUGUGGUAGUGUGGUAUAUUUAUGAUAGGUUACCGUAUGUUAGAUUUUAUGGCUUUGGAAAUUAUAUUAUUGGUGCUCAUAGAUUAUAGUAUAUAGU
Molecule: long non-coding RNA, 567 nt
Organism: Quercus lobata
Lineage: Eukaryota; Viridiplantae; Streptophyta; Magnoliopsida; Fagales; Fagaceae
Exons: 3
Source: RefSeq, a predicted model, not a curated record